This 253-nucleotide ribosomal RNA is filed under the name uncultured bacterium. RNAcentral describes it as "partial 16S ribosomal RNA". It matches the Rfam family "Bacterial small subunit ribosomal RNA", at positions 524 to 776 of the family's 1533-position model. The record is from RNAcentral.
UACGUAGGGGGCUAGCGUUGUCCGGCAUCAUUGUGCGUAAAGAGCGUGUAGGCGGCCCGGUAAGUCCGCUGUGAAAGUCGGGGGCUCAACCCUCGAAUGCCGGUGGAUACUGUCGGGCUAGAGUGCGGAAGAGGCGAGUGGAAUUCCUGGUGUAGCGGUGAAAUGCGCAGAUAUCAGGAGGAACACCAAUUGCGAAGGCAGCUCGCUGGGACGUAACUGACGCUGAGACGCGAAAGCGUGGGGAGCAAACAGG